Molecule: ribosomal RNA, 699 nt
Filed under: Absidia pernambucoensis
Lineage: Eukaryota; Fungi; Mucoromycota; Mucoromycetes; Mucorales; Cunninghamellaceae
Description: Absidia sp. RVO-2019 partial large subunit ribosomal RNA
Rfam family: Eukaryotic large subunit ribosomal RNA
Source: RNAcentral
GCGGAGGAAAAGAAAAUAACAAUGAUUCCCCCAGUAACGGCGAGUGAACAGGGAAAAGCUCAAAGUUGGAAUCUCCUGGUCUUAGAUUAGGCGAAUUGUAAACUAAAGCUCUCGAGUAGUUCGGCUAGCCUGGUAAACAAGUUCUCUGGAAAGGGACGACAAAGAGGGUGAAAUCCCCGUUUUUGGCCGGAGCAUAGUCUUGCGUUUGCUCGGAAGCGAAGAGUCAGGUUGUUUGGUAUUGCAGCCUAAAGUGGGAGGUAAAUCUCUCCUAAAGCUAAAUAUUGACGAAAGACCGAUAGCGAACAAGUACCGUGAGGGAAAGAUGAAAAGCACCUUGAAAAGGGGGUCAAAAAGUACGUGAAAUUGCUGAAAGGGAACCGUAUGAAAUCAGCUUGUCUCUUUAGUAAUCAGUCUGGGCUUUGGCCUGGAUGCACUUGCUAGUGAGUCAGCCUACGACAGUUUGAUUUGGAGGAAAAAAUCAUGGAGAAUGUGGCCUUGGCUUCGGUGGAGGUGUUAUAGCUCUUUGAAAAAUACUCUGGGUUGGACUGAGGACUGCAGCGAGCCUUCGGGAUGGACUGUGGGUGCUUGGCUUUUGCUAGGAAAGAAUCUCUGCUUCGGGUGGUGCUUUUCUAGUAAGGGUCAACUCGCCUACUUUUCCUUUUUCUCGCUUAGGUCGUAGGCAUAAUGAUUUUAUACGAC